CAGCCGUUGGCCCCGGCGGGGGUGAAAACGAGGGGAAAGGACUGGGCUCGCGUCUCUCAGGGGGCGGGAAGAGGAAGAAAAAAACACACGCCCGCUUUCCUGAUGCGUUUACGGGCCCCACCGUGAAGGCUAGCGUUCGGGAGCCUGCUGCUGCUGUUGUUUUCCCCAGUGCCGCUUUCUCUUCUGUUGCCGAAGUUUAGGCCUAACCUAAACGGGCCGCUUCCUAACCGCCACCAACCAGAGUUUCGGGACUCAAACCUUACAGAUUACUCCCCUGCCCCCAUCAACCCAAGCUAUUAAUCUUGCCUCUUGCUCGCUCCACCAUAGCGCAUCUUCCCACCAGGAAGGGGCACAGCUGGCUACACCGGGGUGUGUCUGUACUUUUCAAGAAAUCAUACAAGAAUACAAGAGAGAAUGACAUUAUCCUAGGAAUGACCUUAAAUCUUCUCUAAAAAAGAAAGACUACUGUUAGCAAACUUUAAAAGCACAUCUACAUCUAGUAAGAAAUUACUGGGGAUAUACCUCAUAUCCUUCACAAUAGGUAGGUAACACCAUUGUCCCAUGUAUCUGAAGUUGAGAACAUUGCCAUUGGUGGGUCUUUUUUUUUUUUCCUUUAAAACUUUACAAGAAAGGAGUGGUUAGACUUCUUGCUUGAGUUCAUUAGGGAUGCAUUUAAGUAGCAGUCCCUCUCUUUUUUGAUCAGGGACCAUACUCGCACAGCCUAUAGGGACUAGGUGGGUUAUGUUUACGAGUGAAGUAGGCAGAGCAUAAGGAAAACAAUACUGUAAGCUUGAGGAUAAGUGACAACUGGCACAGAACACAGUGUCUGGGAGAUACUAAAAAGUAAUGGGGACUGCCAAAAAUGGUAGAGUGUAUUCCUCUUCUAAAAAGUACAGUUUCCACAUGAGGAUAGAAGUCGUAUGUUAAGGAUUGCACAGCAGAAAGACAGAAGGAACCUGGAUCCCUGAUGAUCAUGGAGACACCAUACCAACCCAGGACUGUCCAUCUCCAAACAUAACUGGGCAUUUCUGUCAGGCGUCCUCAUGAGCAAAUUCAAGACAGGAUGCUGCAGGCAUACUAAGCCAAUUGGAAGCGUGUUUGGGGCCUUGAUUACUACCUGUGUGUACCUUGCUAAGCAGGACCUCAUGGAUGAGUCUGCUACCAAGUCAAUGACAUAUAAAGUGCACUGAAUUUCAGAAAGAAAGAUUUUUCUGUGUGCCGUAAAUCUUGUAAUAAUAUUUGUCAUUAGCUCAAGCACUGAUCCAUAGUGCAAAGGAAAUUUACACUUCCACUCAGUAAGACAGAUUUUUAUCUUCUUAAAUCUUGGUACCAGAGGCCUAAAGAAAAAUAGCCAAGCAAAAAAAUGUAAGGUUGAAUGGCCUUGUUUAUUCAUCUCUGUGACAUUCUCAUAACAACUCAACAGUGACAAUGAGCCUGGAGGGUCAGCAACUCUUUGCAGUGGGCACUUGUUGUGGUAGCUCCACGAUGCAUGCUUCCCCUUCUCUGAGGAGCUGCCAACAUGCACCCAUAUGUCCUCUCCUCACCCUGCCCUGACAGCCAUCUCAGUGUUAGGAAAGAGCCCCUGGAGCAUGGUUUAUCAAUUCAGGUCUGUCAUCUGAUCUAAAGUCAGCUGAUCAAUUUGUCUCCCUCAUGAAUUUGAAAUGUUGCCAGAGGAGCAACUGUGUUAUUGGAAGUUGUUAGUAUCUGAGACACAUUGCAAUGCUCUUGGGGGAAGGCCUACAACCUCCUGCAGAAGAAAUACGUGGAAUUGCCCUAGCCAUUUUGGAGCCGCGGUUUAAUUCCUUCUUUGAUUCUAUGAGAUAUUCCAGUAUUCUUGCAAUAAAUUCCCUGUUUUUGCUCAAAGUAUUAGAGUUGGUUUCUUUUUCUCUUUUUGUUUGCUUGUUUUGUUUUUUGUUUCUUUCUUCUUCUCCCCAAAGGACCCCAGUACAUAGUUGUAUAUUCUAGUUGUGAGUGCCUCUGGUUGUGCUGUGUAGAACGCUGCCUCAGCGUGGCUUGAUGAGCAGUGCCAUGUCUGCGCCCAGGAUCUGAACUGGUGAAAACCUUGGCCACCGAAGCAGAGCAUGUAAACUUAACCACUCAGCCACCAGGCCAGACCCUAGAGUUGGGUGCUGAUACUUGUUAUCAAAAGAAACUUACUAAUAGAAGACAGCCACAACCAUGCCUGAACAGUUAGAAGAAAAUGGUUUAUCUGGAUGCCAUUUCAUUCAUUCAUUGAUUCCUUCAAUAGUCACUUAUUGAGGAUCUAUUAUAUGUCAAUCACAGAGACAGGCACACAAAUAAGACAGGAGGAGGUGUGGGGAGACAGUCUUGCAAACAUGUAAUUACACUAAAUUGUGAUAAUGUUCUAGUAGAGAUACUUACAAAGUGAUGUGGGAGUACAGAUAAGAGCGUGAAUGAACUCUCUGGGUAGGUUGGGGAACUAGGGUUAAUCAGCUUGGAGAAGGAUUUAAGCUAAGGACUCAAUCAAAGCUAUAUGGAAAAUUCAAUCUCAUUCCAUUACAGCGGCAGCAAAUGAAGAAUUUCUACAUAGAGGCCGAAGACCAGCUGUUCUCAAUAUCCACUCAGCUCUGCCGAGUGGAAACUGAUUUGAACAGCAGCAUGAGAGACUUAAAUAAUAUGCGGAAGAAUUUCCUGACAGUGAAAGUUGUUAAUGUUGGGAGAUUGUAGAAUCUUCUCUGGAG
This 2702-nucleotide long non-coding RNA is filed under the name Equus caballus (horse). RNAcentral's name for it is "lncRNA (ENSECAG00000056247.1)". Lineage: Eukaryota; Metazoa; Chordata; Mammalia; Perissodactyla; Equidae. The record is from RNAcentral.